GCCCAGACUCCUACGGGAGGCAGCAGUGGGGAAUAUUGCACAAUGGGGGAAACCCUGAUGCAGCGACGCCGCGUGAGCGAUGAAGUAUUUCGGUAUGUAAAGCUCUAUCAGCAGGGAAGAAGAUGACGGUACCUGACUAAGAAGCCCCGGCUAACUACGUGCCAGCAGCCGCGGUAAUACGUAGGGGGCAAGCGUUAUCCGGAUUUACUGGGUGUAAAGGGAGCGUAGACGGCGAUGCAAGCCAGAUGUAAAAGCCCGGGGCUCAACCCCGGGACUGCAUUUGGAACUGUGUGGCUGGAGUGUCGGAGAGGCAGGCGGAAUUCCUAGUGUAGCGGUGAAAUGCGUAGAUAUUAGGAGGAACACCAGUGGCGAAGGCGGCCUGCUGGACGACAACUGACGGUGAGGCGCGAAAGCGUGGGGAGCAAACAGGAUUAGAUACCCUGGUA
This 446-nucleotide ribosomal RNA is filed under the name uncultured bacterium. Its description in RNAcentral is "bacterial SSU rRNA". It matches the Rfam family "Bacterial small subunit ribosomal RNA", at positions 329 to 792 of the family's 1533-position model. The record is from RNAcentral.